AAGAAACUCUCUUUGGAAGAACCUUCUUCUCCCAACUCCACAAACAGGUCUAGCCUGUAUGUGAGCGACUUUUCGAAAUACUGAUGUAACAGUGCUCCUGAUGUAGUUCUACAUCAUACUUCCUCAACCUCGGCCCUCCAGAUAUUUUUGGUCUACAACUCCCAUGAUCCCUAGCUAGCAGGACCAGUGGUCAGGGAUGGUGGGAAUUGUAGUCUCAAAACAUCUGGAGGGCCAGGGUUAAGGAAGCCUGUUCUACAUUGCCUGAGAAGUAGGAGGAUAGUUUUAUGUCGAGCCAAAACGAAGUGGAGCAGCAUUGCUCCCACUUUCUGUCAUGCAUUGGUGAGAAGAAUAGAAAAUGGCCUUUAAUGUAGCCGCUUAGGAUGGGGAGAGAAAGUAAGGACAUUCCAUUAGCUUGCCUAGACAAGCUACCACCCAACCCUUGCCUUCUUGGACUCCCAACAGAAGCCAACCAUUCUGCUUAGCAGGGAGGGACAGACCUUUCCUUUCAACCAUUUUAACUUAGCAGCCUGUGCUCCUUUAAGCUUCCCACAGGCACAGUGGUGAGCCAUGGUGGGUAAAUAAUGUGAGACAAGAUCAGUCUGGCUAGGCUCUUAUGUUCUUAAGAACCCCUGAAUUUGUACACUCCCUCUUUCUCCUCCCUCUCUAGCACAGCAGUGAGGAGGAGUUUGGAAACUUUCACUUCCAGUUCAGACUAAUUGGCUGAGUCCUUUGAGUAUUUAUCUUAAUUGUGGAAGCAAGACAACUUCAAGCCAUGGUGCAGGAUUCCCUUCCUGCCACACCCCCCAAAAAUGGUAUUCUCACCAUCGAUCACAAAUGGUACGGUCUGCCAGCUCCAGGCAAAAAUCAGAUCCUGUGAUGCAGACGAAAGGAUCUUUCCCCUCAACAACAACACACACAAGCCUUACAAACCGGAGCUGCUCAUUUCCAAGCAACAGGGGAGAAAACUAUGCCAAAACAUCUGUUGAUGUUCCCAUGAUGACCGAGAGGGUUAAACAGCCCUGUGAUUGAUUUGAGUUGGCUUUCACAGGAGUGAGUCAUUGGGUGGUUUCUUGGCCCUUUACCUCUUGCACAAUUCAAUCUAUAACUCCAGUUAAACUUUAGUUUGCAAAUAAGGGUCGUAAACAUUUUUUACUUUCUAUAUUCUAUAUACUUUCUGUUUCCAUUGUAUACCAAUAUUCCUUUGAGUGUAUAUAAUUAUGUAUUGCGCUUCGUGAGUGUUAGCUGCAAUCUACCCUGAUUAGUUUAGCUUUUAAACACUAGUUCAAGCUUGAAUAGUUUGUGGUUUCAGCACACUAUUAAAAGGAUCACAUUAAUCAUAAGCCCUCACCCAUUUCAACAUCGUGCAACAAUAACAGUAAUCAUUGGGAUAAAAGCUUUACAUUAGACACCAUGGGUUGCACACCAACAUCACCACAAUAACACAGAUGUCUCUUGGAAACAAUAACAUCACACACACAAAAAUGGUAUUCUGCCCAAUUUGUGCGUAAUAGAAAAGAAAAAAACAAACAAAUUAUUUUUAGCAACAAAGUCCCAUGCCACUAUAAAAUGUUGACAGAUUUAUGAUACCAUGAAGCAUAGUUUUGUGCACCAGAGCCCAACAUGUCUUUGUCAUGUGCAAAAAGGAGUUCUCUAAAUGAGCUUGCAAAAUCAACCAACCAGCAACCAGUUCCUCUUGCCUUUGAAUUUUGUAUUUAAAGGAGACACUGUUUAUGCUGCAACAGACUAACCUAGCUAGCCUUCUGGAAUCUGUUACCAGUGAUACUUUAAGAUGAACCAGUAUUUCAAAAAGCAAAAGUUAUCUCUCCACACAGCAACAACUUGUUCCAAGUAGCUGCUGACUCAGUUGAGUUACACCCUUUAUGGCAUUAGAAACACAAACUUGUCAGAGUGUGACCUUUGAAGAAGAUGCCUGGCUCAGAAAUUCUAAAUUGGUGUAAUACAACCACACCUCUUCUAAACUUGCCUUUCCAGAUGCAGCAACAUUGCAUGCAGAGCUGUACUAAUGAAACGCCAAACUUUGCUGUGCUAACUCUCCAUGACUACAUUUCUACCAUACCAGAAAGGAAUAUUCACCAGAAAAAAAUACCUCUAACAAAGCAAAACCCUCUUACACCCCAACUUGAAAUGCAGUCAUCAAAACUGUUAAUGUUGACUAUCUUUCCUCCACUUCCACAUACAGCAGGACAGCCAGAAAUAUUUAGGCUGAAGUAGCCCUAUGAGCAUCAGAGGCAUCUGUCUGGGAGGAGGAAGGGGACAUGGGAAGAUCAAUAUACCAACAACGUGUCCCUGAACUGCAUCUGAUACCUACAGUGGUCAUGGAAAUGAAAUGCCAAAUUACCAUAUUUUUCCAUCUAUAAGGCGCUCCCAUGCAUAAGACACCCCCUAUUUUGGGGGACUCAAAUUUAAGAAAAUGUGGGGAGAUAUAUCCAUGUAUAAGAUGCCCCCCUAAUUUUUGACAUUAUUUUUUUAGGGGGAAAACCUAGUCUUAUACACAGAAAAAGACGGUGUGUUAAUUGCAUGUAUCAAAAUAUACAAAGCAGAGGUGUCUCUUGGGCACUUAAAUGUACUUUCAACGCAGCCUUUAGAAAGUAAUUUUGCCUUCAGUUUCCUAAAAUGUUAGCUAUGAGAGGGCCUCUAUUCUAUGGUGUCAGGAGGUCAUCAAAUAAUCUGCCUUGGAAAUUCGCUUCUCUUUCUGUUCCAAUUUAUGCAUUCCUAAAUUACAGCUCUCCAUUCAUUUUAGCGAUGCUUUUCAAACAAAACUCCAGUUAUUUGAAUGUCAUCUGGACUAGAUAAUAAUAUACGGUACUGUAUUAUAAGGUAAAAUACCAAGCAAGGAAUCACAAUUCUUUUUUGUUCUGGAAAACUACAUGUAUCUCUAAUAAUAUGCUGAAAGCAAACUGGAAAGAGGCUACAUUACGAGUGAGGUUACUACAAGGCAAGAUGGGGAAAGAGGCCAAAGUUCUGCAGCAAAUGCUUAUGUGGAAGAGAAAGAAAAGCAGUGUGGA
This is a long non-coding RNA of Podarcis raffonei (Aeolian wall lizard), 3026 nucleotides long. RefSeq lists it as uncharacterized. The transcript has 2 exons. NCBI's taxonomy places the organism in Eukaryota, Metazoa, Chordata, Lepidosauria, Squamata, Lacertidae. The record is from RefSeq and is a predicted model, not a curated record.